RNAcentral lists this ribosomal RNA (1060 nucleotides) under Salinibacterium amurskyense. RNAcentral's name for it is "bacterial SSU rRNA". It matches the Rfam family "Bacterial small subunit ribosomal RNA", at positions 80 to 1134 of the family's 1533-position model. The record is from RNAcentral. Lineage: Bacteria; Bacillati; Actinomycetota; Actinomycetes; Micrococcales; Microbacteriaceae.
GCUCUGGGUGGAUUAGUGGUGAAGGGAGUGAGUAACACGUGAGUAACCUGCCCUUGACUCUGGAAUAAGCGUUGGAAACGACGUCUAAUACCGGAUACGAGCUUCCGCCGCAUGGUGAGGAGCUGGAAAGAAUUUCGGUCAAGGAUGGACUCGCGGCCUAUCAGGUAGUUGGUGAGGUAAUGGCUCACCAAGCCUACGACGGGUAGCCGGCCUGAGAGGGUGACCGGCCACACUGGAACUGAGACACGGUCCAGACUCCUACGGGAGGCAGCAGUGGGGAAUAUUGCACAAUGGGCGCAAGCCUGAUGCAGCAACGCCGCGUGAGGGACGACGGCCUUCGGGUUGUAAACCUCUUUUAGUAGGGAAGAAGCGAAAGUGACGGUACCUGCAGAAAAAGCACCGGCUAACUACGUGCCAGCAGCCGCGGUAAUACGUAGGGUGCAAGCGUUAUCCGGAAUUAUUGGGCGUAAAGAGCUCGUAGGCGGUUUGUCGCGUCUGCUGUGAAAACUGGGGGCUCAACCCCCAGCCUGCAGUGGGUACGGGCAGACUAGAGUGCGGUAGGGGAGAUUGGAAUUCCUGGUGUAGCGGUGGAAUGCGCAAAUAUCAGGAGGAACACCGAUGGCGAAGGCAGAUCUCUGGGCCGUAACUGACGCUGAGGAGCGAAAGCAUGGGGAGCGAACAGGAUUAGAUACCCUGGUAGUCCAUGCCGUAAACGUUGGGAACUAGAUGUAGGGGCCAUUCCACGGUUUCUGUGUCGCAGCUAACGCAUUAAGUUCCCCGCCUGGGGAGUACGGCCGCAAGGCUAAAACUCAAAGGAAUUGACGGGGGCCCGCACAAGCGGCGGAGCAUGCGGAUUAAUUUCGAUGCAACGCGAAGGAACCUUACCAAGACUUGACAUAUACGAGAAACGGGCUAGAAAAUAGUUUCACUCUUUUGGAAACUCCGUAAAACAGGGUGGUGGCAUGGUUUGUUCGUCAAGCCUCGUGGUCCCUGAGAUGUUUGGGUUUAAAUUCCCCCAACCAAGGCGCAACCCCUCCGUUUUUUUUUUGCCCAGCCCGGA